This 449-nucleotide ribosomal RNA is filed under the name uncultured bacterium. RNAcentral describes it as "partial 16S ribosomal RNA". It matches the Rfam family "Bacterial small subunit ribosomal RNA", at positions 354 to 796 of the family's 1533-position model. The record is from RNAcentral.
GUCGAGAAUAAUUCACAAUGGGGGAAACCCUGAUGGUGCAACGCCGCGUGGAGGAUGAAGGUCUUCGGAUUGUAAACUCCUGUCAUGUGGGAGUAAAGCCGGGUGUUAAAUGCAUGCCGGUCUGAGAGUACCACAAGAGGAAGGGACGGCUAACUCUGUGCCAGCAGCCGCGGUAAUACAGAGGUCCCAAGCGUUGUUCGGAAUCACUGGGCGUAAAGGGUGCGUAGGCGGCGCGGAAAGUCAGGGGUGAAAUCCCGGAGCUCAACUCCGGAACUGCCUUUGAUACUCCUGCGCUUGAGAACUGGAGGGGAGAGCGGAAUUCACGGUGGAGCAGUGAAAUGCGUGGAUAUCGUGAGGAACACUCGUGGCGAAGGCGAGUCACUGGACAACAUCUGACGCUGAGGCUCGAAGGCCAGGGGAGCAAAAGGGAUUAGAAACCCCAGUAGUCC